This 870-nucleotide ribosomal RNA is filed under the name uncultured bacterium. RNAcentral describes it as "bacterial SSU rRNA". It matches the Rfam family "Bacterial small subunit ribosomal RNA", at positions 60 to 918 of the family's 1533-position model. The record is from RNAcentral.
AGUCGAGGGGCAUCGGGGAGCGAAGCUUGCUUUGCUCCGCCGGCGACCGGCGCACGGGUGAGUAACGCGUAUGCAACCUGCCCGUUUCAGCGGGAUAACCCGGAGAAAUCCGGCCUAAUACCGCAUGUGGCCGAGGGAAGGCAUCUUCUUUCGGCCAAAGGAGGCGACUCCGGAGACGGAUGGGCAUGCGUGACAUUAGCUUGUUGGCGGGGUAACGGCCCACCAAGGCGACGAUGUCUAGGGGUUCUGAGAGGAAGGUCCCCCACACUGGUACUGAGACACGGACCAGACUCCUACGGGAGGCAGCAGUGAGGAAUAUUGGUCAAUGGGCGAGAGCCUGAACCAGCCAAGUCGCGUGAAGGAUGACGGCCCUACGGGUUGUAAACUUCUUUUGUCAGGGAGCAAUUGGGUCCACGCGUGGGCUUAGCGAGAGUACCUGAAGAAAAAGCAUCGGCUAACUCCGUGCCAGCAGCCGCGGUAAUACGGAGGAUGCGAGCGUUAUCCGGAUUUAUUGGGUUUAAAGGGUGCGUAGGCGGAAUAUCAAGUCAGCGGUAAAAAUUCGGGGCUCAACCCCGUCGUGCCGUUGAAACUGAUGUUCUUGAGUGGGCGAGAAGUAUGCGGAAUGCGUGGUGUAGCGGUGAAAUGCAUAGAUAUCACGCAGAACUCCGAUUGCGAAGGCAGCAUACCGGCGCCCAACUGACGCUGAAGCACGAAAGCGUGGGUAUCGAACAGGAUUAGAUACCCUGGUAGUCCACGCAGUAAACGAUGAAUGCUAAUUGUCCGGAGGGAUUGACCUCUGGGUGAUACAGCGAAAGCGUUAAGCAUUCCACCUGGGGAGUACGCCGGCAACGGUGAAACUCAAUGACGGGG